This 393-nucleotide ribosomal RNA is filed under the name Nasutitermes ephratae. RNAcentral describes it as "partial 16S ribosomal RNA". The record is from RNAcentral. Lineage: Eukaryota; Metazoa; Arthropoda; Insecta; Blattodea; Termitidae.
CAUCUUUUCUUGUUAGUUUUUGAAGUAUGGCCUGCCCACUGACUUGGAGUUGAAGGGCCGCGGUAUUUUGACCGUGCAAAGGUAGCAUAAUCAUUAGUUCUUUAAUUGUGAUCUGGUAUGAAUGGCUUGACGAGACAUAAGCUGUCUUAGAAGUAUUGGUUUAUUGAAUUUGGUUUUUGAGUUAAAAUUCUUAAAUGUUUUUAUGGGACGAGAAGACCCUAUAGAGUUUGACAAUUUUCCUAUUUAUUCGUUGUUUGUUUUAUUUACAUUGAGUGGGAGUGAAUUGUUUUGUUGGGGUGAUGGGAGGAAUAUUGUUUAACUCCUCUUUGUUUUUAUAUAUUUAUGUAUAUAUUUUUGAUCCAUUUAUUUUGAUUAUAAGAUUAAAUUACCUUA